Schistocerca serialis cubense is the source of this 457-nucleotide long non-coding RNA. RefSeq lists it as uncharacterized. The transcript has 3 exons. The record is from RefSeq and is a predicted model, not a curated record. Lineage: Eukaryota; Metazoa; Arthropoda; Insecta; Orthoptera; Acrididae.
CCGAAACUUAUUUGUGACAGUCUUUCUGUAGUGCCUCUCUGUGACUCAGCAUCUCUGCUAUAUGAUACCACCAAGAAGGAUGACCUUCAUGGAUGUGGAACAAAUCAAAGUAUGCAUUAACAAAAGACAAUCAAAUCAUACAAUCUCAAACUGUACAAUACAUAAACAAUAAACUACCACUAUUCAACUUAAUGCAGUUUAUGGUUGUAUCAGCUAAAUUCAAGCGUCAGCACACCAGUCAGGAAAGAAAGAGAGGAGAUGGCUGUGAGAAGAAGUCAGCCAAUCGCAUGCUGACUGGACCUCCCUCGAGGACAACAAUGCGACAGCAGCAGCCCCUGUGAAGUGGACAUAAGCACUGCAAUCGACUGGCAGGGCCCCAGUUCAAGAGCAGCUUCAAGAUUAGACACUUGUAUAGCAGUGUCAACUCUAUUCACUUCGUUUGUACCCUCUAUGUACC